This 1113-nucleotide ribosomal RNA is filed under the name Triticum aestivum (bread wheat). RNAcentral's name for it is "partial small subunit ribosomal RNA". Lineage: Eukaryota; Viridiplantae; Streptophyta; Magnoliopsida; Poales; Poaceae. The record is from RNAcentral.
AUGCGUUGCAACGUCACCAGUAGUAGUAGUAUUUUUUUAGUGGAGGCAAAAACAUUCACAGGUACUUACAAUACUAUGUUGUCGUCCUCGCUCCCCGCUCCCUGCGGUGCGCUACUCUGGCGCCGGCGUCCACCGCGCCCAGGCGCUCUCGCCGCGGCCACUGCGGCGACCACCUCCCUGCCGUCCGGCGGCCACCUCUCACCGCCCUCGGCCUCUCUCCCCGGCCUCCCCAUCUUCCUCAUGGCCGCCAGUUCCAGAUCUGUGACCUCGACGUUCCGGCCGCAGGGAGAGCGCCCUGUGGUGUCGGGAUUGGGGAUCUCCUCCGGCUUCGAGGGCUCGGACGCGCAUGUCCCGGUCGCGGCGGAGGACGACGUCCCUGCUCCGGGGCUGGGGCAGGCUCCGUGGGAGCACCCGCCUCCCUCCAAGAAAGAGCUUUGGAGGAUGACACAGCCCGGAUGGCCCAAGCCGGCGCCUGCUGCCUGCGCGGCCUGCGUCGCUGCCCGUCGUGGUCUCGCCGGAGAUGAGAGACAAGUGCUUCAAGUGUUUGGAGAAGGGCCACUACAAAAAGGAGUGCACCAACCAGAUCGUCUAUUUCAGAUGCGGCUUGCCCGGCCAUGGUUCCAAGGAUUGCAAACGGCGCGGAGUCCUUCGUCGGUGGAUGACCUGCGUCGGGAGGCGAUGGCUAAAGUGGUGCGCCGCGCCACUCCCCCACCACGGCCGGUGCUCGCGGCCACGUCCCACGGCGCCAGCUUGCCACCCCAGACCGCGGCGCUGGGCAUUGACUCGGCGUGGCCACCUUUGGCCCCGCCGCGACUGCAAGUGGAGAACAGGGUCGAGGAGGCGCCUGCGGAGCUCUGCGUCGUCAGGCGCUCUGCUGUCGUGUCCGACCUGGAGCGUCGCCUCCAGUUCGCCAUGGUGGCAUACGUGGCCGGUCAAUGGCGGGCUCUUGCACUGGCGCGUGUGAUGGAGAUCCUCGCCGGGAAGCUCGACAUCGCCCCUGAGCUCGUGUCGGUGCAUAGCUACAGGCCAGAGGACUUUCUGGUGGUUUUUGCGUCUGCGGAGGUGCAGAACAGAGUGGCGGCGUGCCCCUCGGUGGAGUCUGAAGGUGAUUGA